This 440-nucleotide ribosomal RNA is filed under the name uncultured bacterium. RNAcentral's name for it is "partial 16S ribosomal RNA". It matches the Rfam family "Bacterial small subunit ribosomal RNA", at positions 338 to 795 of the family's 1533-position model. The record is from RNAcentral.
CCUACGGGUGGCAGCAGUGGGGAAUAUUGCACAAUGGGGGGAACCCUGAUGCAGCAACGCCGCGUGGGUGAAGAAGUACUUCUGUAUGUAAAGCCCUGUCAGCAGGGAAGAAAAUGACGGUACCUUACCAAGAAGCCCCGACUAACUACGUGCCAGCAGCCGCGGUAAUACGUAGGGGGCAAGCGUUAUCCGGAUUUACUGGGUGUAAAGGGAGCGUAGACGGCAAGGCAAGUCUGUAGUGAAAGCCCGUGGCUCAACCACGGGACUGCUUUUGAAACUGUGUUGCUGGAGUGCAGGAGGGGUAAGCGGAAUUCCUAGUGUAGCGGUGAAAUGCGUAGAUAUUAGGAGGAACACCGGUGGCGAAGGCGGCUUACUGGACUGUAACUGACGCUGAGGCUCGAAGGCGUGGGGAGCAAACAGGAUUAGAUACCCCAGUAGUC